AUUGAACGCUGGCGGCAUGCUUUACACAUGCAAGUCGAACGGUAACAGGUUAAGCUGACGAGUGGCGAACGGAUGAGUAAUGCAUCGGAACGUGCCCAGUCGUGGGGGAUAACGCAGCGAAAGCUGUGCUAAUACCGCAUACGAUCUAUGGAUGAAAGCGGGGACCGUAAGGCCUCGCGCGAUUUGGAGCGGCCGAUGUCAGAUUAGCUAGUUGGUGGGUAAAGGCCCACCAAGGCGACGAUCUGUAGCUGGUCUGAGAGGACGACCAGCCACACUGGAACUGAGACACGGUCCAGACUCCUACGGGAGGCAGCAGUGGGGAAUUUUGGACAAUGGGCGCAAGCCUGAUCCAGCAAUGCCGCGUGCAGGAAGAAGGGCCUUC
RNAcentral lists this ribosomal RNA (382 nucleotides) under uncultured bacterium. RNAcentral describes it as "bacterial SSU rRNA". It matches the Rfam family "Bacterial small subunit ribosomal RNA", at positions 30 to 420 of the family's 1533-position model. The record is from RNAcentral.